This 291-nucleotide unclassified non-coding RNA is filed under the name Chytridiomycota sp. RNAcentral's name for it is "partial contains small subunit ribosomal RNA, internal transcribed spacer 1, and 5.8S ribosomal RNA". The stretch from base 1 to 46 matches the Rfam family "Eukaryotic small subunit ribosomal RNA", at positions 1786 to 1831 of the family's 1831-position model. The record is from RNAcentral. Lineage: Eukaryota; Fungi; Chytridiomycota.
AAGUCGUAACAAGGUAACCGUAGGUGAACCUGCGGUUGGAUCAUUAACAAAUUCAAUCAAAAAUUAAGGUCAAGGAGCGAAUCUGAAAAGAUUUUAACCUUCCUUUUUUUUUACACACAAUGUGAACUGUUUAUUGUCUCUGGUGGUGUUAAAAGUUUUCGAAAGAAAAUGGGUACUUUACUGUACCUACCCACCGUUUAAAUUUUAAACUUUAUUUUAUUUAUUAGCCUUUAUAUCUUUAAAAAAAGUUAAAUUAAAAAACAACUUUUGGCAACGGAUCUCUAGGCUCUU